GAUGAAGAACGUAGCGAAAUGCGAUAAGUAAUGUGAAUUGCAGAAUUCAGUGAAUCAUCGAAUCUUUGAACGCACCUUGCGCCCUUUGGCAUUCCGAAGGGCAUGCCUGUUUGAGUAUCAUGAACACCUCAACUCUUCAUGGUUUUCCAUGAUGAGCUUGGACUUUGGGGGUCUUGCUGGCCUGCGGUCGGCUCCUCUCAAAUGAAUCAGCUUACCAGUGUUUGGUGGGCAUCACAGGUGUGAUAACUAUCUGCGCUUGUGGUUUUCCACCAAGUAACCUUCAGCAGUGGAGGUUCACUGGAGCUCACAGACGUCUCUCCUCAGUGAGGACAGCCCUUUGAAUGUUUGAUCUCAAAUCAGGUAGGACUACCCGCUGAACUUAAGCAUAUAAAUAAGCGGAGGA
Molecule: unclassified non-coding RNA, 403 nt
Filed under: soil metagenome
Description: partial contains 5.8S ribosomal RNA, internal transcribed spacer 2, and large subunit ribosomal RNA
Rfam family: 5.8S ribosomal RNA (bases 1-120)
Source: RNAcentral